This 1920-nucleotide long non-coding RNA is filed under the name Triticum aestivum (bread wheat). RNAcentral's name for it is "long non-coding RNA (TAES_LNC005168)". Lineage: Eukaryota; Viridiplantae; Streptophyta; Magnoliopsida; Poales; Poaceae. The record is from RNAcentral.
UAGAACUGUGCUGAAGAUGUGUGCUUAACCGUGUAGUUUUUUUCUGCAGCUAAAAUUCAGCUGAAGCUUUACAAACUAGCUGAACACUAAUUCAUAGAGCUAUCCUUUCCUUUGCUUUGUUUUUCCUGUAGAAUUGGUUAAGCAUAAUCUGAGUGGUGUAUACCCAACACAUUUCUUAAUGGCCAUGCAUGCAAUUAUAAUCUAAUUGGGACACGACUAACAAGCUGAUUUACAUUAGCAUGCUCAUGUAUGUUUUCACAACCUGGCCCUUGUCUUGCAGAUCCUCGAAACGAGCCAAGAACCAUUAAAUGUUUUCACAACCUGGCCCUUGUCAUGUAUGUUUUACAGAUCCUCAAAACGAGCUUAAACUUUGUUAUGCAAGAUCUCUUCAUGUGUCAUAAUGAUACAAACACGAGCUACAUAAUUUAGGCAUUUACAAUUAUAAUUAAGUGAUAAUUUGGCAGAACAACAUGUUAGAAAUUCGGUGAUUUAUCAUUCUAACUACUGAAAUUAUAGGAUGCACUAUUUUGUCAAGUGUGGUGUUUAUUCGAGAAGGCAACAAAGAGGUAUGGCAGGACUGCUUUGUUGCACAUGUUCGAAAGUUGCGUCUUACCUGCUUUAAAUAUAGUAGUUGAGACUUCUGGGGGCAUGCCGUUUCAUCUUGAGCUUUCUUAACUAACAGAGAAAUGAAAUAACUUAUCAAAGCCUUUUUGUACGGUUUUUCUUUUCACUUCAAAAACAUUUUCGCAAAUUGGAACUUCAUAGCCAGUUUCCAAAUUCAAAGAAAUCACCUACCAUGGCCUUGUUCCUUUUCUUAAACUUCUCAUUCUGCAUCAGCCAAACUCCCAGCCAUUUCAAUGUCAAGCUCGUUGAGCAACUUGAAAUCACAAUUCAUAGCAAAUAUAUGAACAACUAACCAUGCUUUAUAUUUUUGAUAGGUGUUCUAAAACUAGAAGCAUUUCCUUAGUUCAAAUCCUGUACCAUGUAUAUACAUGCUACCCUCUUUUGAUGUACUUCAACAAGCUUAUCAACAAAUAUAUACCAGAUGCUACAUCGGCAUGUUAUUAUUUUGUUAGUGUAGUCACAUGAACUUCAUAUGAUUUAGCUGCAUUGUCAUAUAUUUAUUCACAAGAUCUGCUCGUCUAUAUCUGUCAAGACUGGAAACCUUGAGACGGUGAUCAAACAUUUGGUUGAAGGAAUCAGCAAACAGAUGUUUUCGAGGUACACCUAUGAUCUACGUGUCAACUCUCAAAUGUCUAGUACUGCAAAACUGUUGUAUGGCCAUGAUGGUGCUUUAUUUAUUUUUCUGUCUUUUGUGUAUACAGACCAAUACUUCGUUCUUAUUUUCAGAUACUUACAAUCUUGCAUGUUAUUGCUGGCAUGAGUUUUGUAUGUCCACGACUGUUGUGAUACUGUUAAUAUGAUGCAGAUUUGUGUUCUUGUGUAUGCUGCAAUAUUUUUGAUAUUUUAGAGAAGUGCUAAAUUUGUGACCAUUAUUUUCAGCAUCAUGUUGUGAGCUCUGAUGUUCCUCUCAAGACUUGGAUCGGCAACCUGAUGCAAGUGCUCAAGGGAUAUCUGGAGCAUGUACUUGUCAAGGCGAUGUGAUGCAUGUGUAGUUAAUUACCAUGUUGAUUGGAAGUGUUUCGAUCUAGCAACAGUAGCUGAUAUGUGGCCUUGUCUAUAGUAGGUUGUAGAUUAAACUUGCAGUGUUUAGACCAUUUUGCAACUUAAGCUAGCUUUUUUGGAUCGAUGGGUGGUAUGAAUAUGUUGUAUGAUGAUGAAUAUUCGGUCAUCUAUGAAUUAUUUGAAUUAUGGCUGAUAUAUAUCCAAAUUUGGUGUAUUGUUGCUUUGGUUGCGAUUGUUUGUUGCAGCCUGUUUCUAGUAUUAAUAAAUGGUUGAUAUGAAUCCAAAUAUAUAUUU